GACGAACGCUGGCGGCGUGCUUAACACAUGCAAGUCGAACGGGAUUUAGUAGACAGAAGCCUCGGCUAAAGAUUACUAAUGAGAGUGGCGAACGGGUGAGUAACGCGUGAGCAACCUGCCUAUGACAGUGGGAUAGCUUCGUGAAACCGGGAUUAAUACCGCAUAAAAUCGUAGAAACACAUGUUUUAACGGUCAAAGAUUUAUCGGUCAUAGAUGGGCUCGCGUCUGAUUAGCUAGUUGGUGAGAUAACAGCCCACCAAGGCGACGAUCAGUAGCCGGUCUGAGAGGAUGAACGGCCACAUUGGAACUGAGACACGGUCCAAACUCCUACGGGAGGCAGCAGUGGGGAAUAUUGCACAAUGGGGGAAACCCUGAUGCAGCGACGCCGCGUGAACGAAGAAGGUAUGCGUAUCGUAAAGUUCUGUCCUAUGGGAAGAUAAUGACAGUACCAUAGAAGAAAGCUCCGGCUAAAUACGUG
This 478-nucleotide ribosomal RNA is filed under the name uncultured bacterium. RNAcentral's name for it is "partial 16S ribosomal RNA". It matches the Rfam family "Bacterial small subunit ribosomal RNA", at positions 28 to 507 of the family's 1533-position model. The record is from RNAcentral.